AGAACUUAGCAGAGAUGCUUUGGUGCCUUCGGGAACUCUGAGACAGGUGCUGCAUGGCUGUCGUCAGCUCGUGUUGUGAAAUGUUGGGUUAAGUCCCGCAACGAGCGCAACCCUUAUCCUUUGUUGCCAGCGGUUAGGCCGGGAACUCAAAGGAGACUGCCAGUGAUAAACUGGAGGAAGGUGGGGAUGACCGUCAAGUCAUCAUGGCCCUUACGAGUAGGGCUACACACGUGCUACAAUGGCGCAUACAAAGAGAAGCGACCUCGCGAGAGCAAGCGGACCUCAUAAAGUGCGUCGUAGUCCGGAUUGGAGUCUGCAACUCGACUCCAUGAAGUCGGAAUCGCUAGUAAUCGUGGAUCAGAAUGCCACGGUGAAUACGUUCCCGGGCCUUGUACACACCGCCCGUCACACCAUGGGAGUGGGUUGCAAAAGAAGUAGGUAGCUUAACCUUCGGGAGGGCGCUUACCACUUUGUGAUUCAUGACUGGGGUGAAGUCGUAACAAGGUAGGCGUAGUGCU
This 518-nucleotide ribosomal RNA is filed under the name uncultured bacterium. Its description in RNAcentral is "bacterial SSU rRNA". It matches the Rfam family "Bacterial small subunit ribosomal RNA", at positions 992 to 1509 of the family's 1533-position model. The record is from RNAcentral.